UACGUAGGGGGCAAGCGUUGUCCGGAUUUAUUGGGCGUAAAGAGCGUGUGGGCGGCUUGGUAGGUCCGCUGUGAAAACUCGAGGCUCAACCUCGAGAUGUCGGCGGAAACCGCUUGGCUAGAGUCCGGAAGAGGAGAGUGGAAUUCCCGGUGUAGCGGUGAAAUGCGCAGAUAUCGGGAAGAACACCUAUGGCGAAGGCAGCUCUCUGGGACGGUACUGACGCUGAGACGCGAAAGCGUGGGGAGCGAACAGG
Molecule: ribosomal RNA, 253 nt
Filed under: uncultured bacterium
Lineage: Bacteria
Description: partial 16S ribosomal RNA
Rfam family: Bacterial small subunit ribosomal RNA
Source: RNAcentral